AGUGAACGCUGGCGGUAGGCCUAACACAUGCAAGUCGAACGGCAGCACAGUAAGAGCUUGCCCUUACGGGUGGCGAGUGGCGGACGGGUGAGGAAUACAUCGGAAUCUACUUUUUCGUGGGGGAUAACGUAGGGAAACUUACGCUAAUACCGCAUACGACCUACGGGUGAAAGCAGGGGAUCUUCGGACCUUGCGCGAUUGAAUGAGCCGAUGUCGGAUUAGCUAGUUGGCGGGGUAAAGGCCCACCAAGGCGACGAUCCGUAGCUGGUCUGAGAGGAUGAUCAGCCACACUGGAACUGAGACACGGUCCAGACUCUUACGGGAGGCAGCAGUGGGGAAUAUUGGACAAUGGGCGCAAGCCUGAUCCAGCCAUACCGCGUGGGUGAAGAAGGCCUUCGGGUUGUAAAGCCCUUUUGUUGGGAAAGAAAAGCAGCAGGUUAAUACCCCGCUGUUCUGACGGUACCCAAAGAAUAAGCACCGGCUAACUUCGUG
Molecule: ribosomal RNA, 492 nt
Filed under: uncultured bacterium
Lineage: Bacteria
Description: partial 16S ribosomal RNA
Rfam family: Bacterial small subunit ribosomal RNA
Source: RNAcentral